This 2362-nucleotide ribosomal RNA is filed under the name Pseudomonas aeruginosa. RNAcentral describes it as "partial 23S ribosomal RNA". It matches the Rfam family "Bacterial large subunit ribosomal RNA", at positions 1 to 2401 of the family's 2925-position model. Lineage: Bacteria; Pseudomonadati; Pseudomonadota; Gammaproteobacteria; Pseudomonadales; Pseudomonadaceae. The record is from RNAcentral.
GGUCAAGUGAAGAAGCGCAUACGGUGGAUGCCUUGGCAGUCAGAGGCGAUGAAAGACGUGGUAGCCUGCGAAAAGCUUCGGGGAGUCGGCAAACAGACUUUGAUCCGGAGAUCUCUGAAUGGGGGAACCCACCUAGGAUAACCUAGGUAUCUUGUACUGAAUCCAUAGGUGCAAGAGGCGAACCAGGGGAACUGAAACAUCUAAGUACCCUGAGGAAAAGAAAUCAACCGAGAUUCCCUUAGUAGUGGCGAGCGAACGGGGAUUAGCCCUUAAGCUUCAUUGAUUUUAGCGGAACGCUCUGGAAAGUGCGGCCAUAGUGGGUGAUAGCCCCGUACGCGAAAGGAUCUUUGAAGUGAAAUCGAGUAGGACGGAGCACGAGAAACUUUGUCUGAACAUGGGGGGACCAUCCUCCAAGGCUAAAUACUACUGACUGACCGAUAGUGAACCAGUACCGUGAGGGAAAGGCGAAAAGAACCCCGGAGAGGGGAGUGAAAUAGAACCUGAAACCGUAUGCGUACAAGCAGUGGGAGCCUACUUGUUAGGUGACUGCGUACCUUUUGUAUAAUGGGUCAGCGACUUAUAUUCAGUGGCAAGCUUAACCGUAUAGGGUAGGCGUAGCGAAAGCGAGUCUUAAUAGGGCGUUUAGUCGCUGGGUAUAGACCCGAAACCGGGCGAUCUAUCCAUGAGCAGGUUGAAGGUUAGGUAACACUGACUGGAGGACCGAACCCACUCCCGUUGAAAAGGUAGGGGAUGACUUGUGGAUCGGAGUGAAAGGCUAAUCAAGCUCGGAGAUAGCUGGUUCUCCUCGAAAGCUAUUUAGGUAGCGCCUCAUGUAUCACUCUGGGGGGUAGAGCACUGUUUCGGCUAGGGGGUCAUCCCGACUUACCAAACCGAUGCAAACUCCGAAUACCCAGAAGUGCCGAGCAUGGGAGACACACGGCGGGUGCUAACGUCCGUCGUGAAAAGGGAAACAACCCAGACCGCCAGCUAAGGUCCCAAAGUUGUGGUUAAGUGGUAAACGAUGUGGGAAGGCUUAGACAGCUAGGAGGUUGGCUUAGAAGCAGCCAUCCUUUAAAGAAAGCGUAAUAGCUCACUAGUCGAGUCGGCCUGCGCGGAAGAUGUAACGGGGCUCAAACCACACACCGAAGCUGCGGGUGUCACGUAAGUGACGCGGUAGAGGAGCGUUCUGUAAGCCUGUGAAGGUGAGUUGAGAAGCUUGCUGGAGGUAUCAGAAGUGCGAAUGCUGACAUGAGUAACGACAAUGGGUGUGAAAAACACCCACGCCGAAAGACCAAGGGUUCCUGCGCAACGUUAAUCGACGCAGGGUUAGUCGGUUCCUAAGGCGAGGCUGAAAAGCGUAGUCGAUGGGAAACAGGUUAAUAUUCCUGUACUUCUGGUUACUGCGAUGGAGGGACGGAGAAGGCUAGGCCAGCUUGGCGUUGGUUGUCCAAGUUUAAGGUGGUAGGCUGAAAUCUUAGGUAAAUCCGGGGUUUCAAGGCCGAGAGCUGAUGACGAGUCGUCUUUUAGAUGACGAAGUGGUUGAUGCCAUGCUUCCAAGAAAAGCUUCUAAGCUUCAGGUAACCAGGAACCGUACCCCAAACCGACACAGGUGGUCGGGUAGAGAAUACCAAGGCGCUUGAGAGAACUCGGGUGAAGGAACUAGGCAAAAUGGCACCGUAACUUCGGGAGAAGGUGCGCCGGCUAGGGUGAAGGAUUUACUCCGUAAGCUCUGGCUGGUCGAAGAUACCAGGCCGCUGCGACUGUUUAUUAAAAACACAGCACUCUGCAAACACGAAAGUGGACGUAUAGGGUGUGACGCCUGCCCGGUGCCGGAAGGUUAAUUGAUGGGGUUAGCGCAAGCGAAGCUCUUGAUCGAAGCCCCGGUAAACGGCGGCCGUAACUAUAACGGUCCUAAGGUAGCGAAAUUCCUUGUCGGGUAAGUUCCGACCUGCACGAAUGGCGUAACGAUGGCGGCGCUGUCUCCACCCGAGACUCAGUGAAAUUGAAAUCGCUGUGAAGAUGCAGUGUAUCCGCGGCUAGACGGAAAGACCCCGUGAACCUUUACUGUAGCUUUGCACUGGACUUUGAGCCUGCUUGUGUAGGAUAGGUGGGAGGCUUUGAAGCGUGGACGCCAGUUCGCGUGGAGCCAUCCUUGAAAUACCACCCUGGCAUGCUUGAGGUUCUAACUCUGGUCCGUGAUCCGGAUCGAGGACAGUGUAUGGUGGGCAGUUUGACUGGGGCGGUCUCCUCCUAAAGAGUAACGGAGGAGUACGAAGGUGCGCUCAGACCGGUCGGAAAUCGGUCGCAGAGUAUAAAGGCAAAAGCGCGCUUGACUGCGAGACAGACACGUCGAGCAGGUACG